UACAGAGGAGCCAAGCGUUGUCCGGAUUGACUGGGCGUAAAGCGCACGCAGGCGGAUGCGCGCGUGGGGUGUGAAAUCUGGCCGCUUAACGGCCAGGCGCCAUCCCAUACGGCGCGUCUGGAGGGCUGCAGAGGUCGAUGGAAUUGCCGGUGUAGUGGUGAAAUGCGUAGAGAUCGGCAGGAGCACCCAGGGGGAAACCAGUCGACUGGGCAGCACCUGACGCUGAGGUGCGAGAGCGUGGGGAGCGAACAGG
This 253-nucleotide ribosomal RNA is filed under the name uncultured bacterium. RNAcentral describes it as "partial 16S ribosomal RNA". It matches the Rfam family "Bacterial small subunit ribosomal RNA", at positions 524 to 776 of the family's 1533-position model. The record is from RNAcentral.